Molecule: long non-coding RNA, 394 nt
Filed under: Manihot esculenta (cassava)
Lineage: Eukaryota; Viridiplantae; Streptophyta; Magnoliopsida; Malpighiales; Euphorbiaceae
Description: long non-coding RNA (MESC_LNC001006)
Source: RNAcentral
GGAAUUAAUUUAUUUCAUUAUAUUUUACAUUAGAUAAUAAUUUAAUUAUGGUAAACUAUUAAUUUUUUCAUUGUAUUUUAUAUUAAAUAUUAACUUUAAUAUUUUAAAUUUUAUUAAUUUUAUGAGAAAAUUAUUAUAAAAUUACAUGAGAAAAUUUAAAAAAAGAAAAAAUGUGAGAGAAUAGAAAAAAAUGAGAUAUAAAACAGAAAAUAACAAAAGAAAGAAAAUAAAAGAAAAUAAUGAUAAAAAUGAAGAGCAAAUAAGAAAAAAGGGAAAAUUAAAGGAAAUGAGAAAAAAGGAAGAAAAAAUAGAAAAAAGAAAGAAAAUGAGAGAAAGAUGAAGAAAAAAUGAAGAAAAAUAAAGAGAAAAUGAAGAUAUACAAAAGAAUGUAAAA